UGAACUUGAACCUGAACUUGCUGAAGAAGC
This 30-nucleotide non-coding RNA is filed under the name Homo sapiens (human). The record is from RNAcentral. Lineage: Eukaryota; Metazoa; Chordata; Mammalia; Primates; Hominidae.